Molecule: ribosomal RNA, 374 nt
Filed under: uncultured eukaryote
Lineage: Eukaryota
Description: partial 18S ribosomal RNA
Rfam family: Eukaryotic small subunit ribosomal RNA
Source: RNAcentral
CAAUAGCGUAUAUUUAAGUUGUUGCAGUUAAAAAGCUCGUAGUUGGAUUUCUGCUGAUCGCUGUCGGUCUGCCGUCAGGUGUGUACUGGCAGUGUUUGGCAUCUAUUCGAGAUUGGGUGUCCACUUGAUUGUGUGCACUCGAUGUCGGAGCUAAUACUUUGAGAAAAUUAGAGUGUUCCACGCAGGCGCGUGCCUUGAAUACUGCAGCAUGGGAUAUUGGAAGGCCGAUUGAGCUUUCUUGUUGGUUCUCGGUUUGAUCGGAAUGAUUAAUAGGGAUAGUUGGGGGCAUUAGUAUUUAAUUGUCAGAGGUGAAAUUCUUGGAUUUAUGAAAGACUAACAUCUGCGAAAGCAUUUGCCAAGGAUGUUUUCAUUGA